RNAcentral lists this non-coding RNA (112 nucleotides) under Neobodo designis. The record is from RNAcentral. Lineage: Eukaryota; Euglenozoa; Kinetoplastea; Neobodonida; Neobodonidae.
UUCCGGGUACGGUAGGGACAACGAGCUCGAGCGUGGGCCCUCGCGGAAGUCGGCAUCGUCGUCAUCGUCGUCCGGGAGCGACGGGUGCCCCAUAUGGUUGAAAGAGGUGUGG